This 300-nucleotide ribosomal RNA is filed under the name uncultured Chromatiales bacterium. Its description in RNAcentral is "bacterial SSU rRNA". It matches the Rfam family "Bacterial small subunit ribosomal RNA", at positions 114 to 429 of the family's 1533-position model. The record is from RNAcentral. Lineage: Bacteria; Pseudomonadati; Pseudomonadota; Gammaproteobacteria; Chromatiales.
UGAAUAGGAAUCUGCCCUAUAGUGGGGGACAACCUGGGGAAACCCAGGCUAAUACCGCAUAAUCUCUACGGAGGAAAGCCUUCGGGCGCUAUUGGAUGAGCCUAUUUCUGAUUAGCUUGUUGGUGAGGUAAAAGCUCACCAAGGCGACGAUCAGUAGCUGGUCUGAGGGGACGAUCAGCCACACUGGGACUGAGACACGGCCCAGACUCCUACGGGAGGCAGCAGUGGGGAAUAUUGGACAAUGGGGGAAACCCUGAUCCAGCAAUGCCGCGUGUGUGAAGAAGGCCUGCGGGUUGUAAA